RNAcentral lists this ribosomal RNA (292 nucleotides) under uncultured bacterium. RNAcentral describes it as "partial 16S ribosomal RNA". It matches the Rfam family "Bacterial small subunit ribosomal RNA", at positions 505 to 796 of the family's 1533-position model. The record is from RNAcentral.
GUGUCAGCCGCCGCGGUAAUACGUAGGUCACGAACGUUAUUCGGAAUCACUGGGCUUAAAGGGCGCGUAGGCGGCUUAACAAGUCAUGGUUGAAAUCCGACGGCUCACCCGUCGAACUGGCCAUGAUACUGUUGAGCUAGAGUUGCGGAGGGAUGCGUGGAACUUGUGGUGGAGCGGUGAAAUGCCCAGAUAUCACAGGGAACACCGGUGGCGAAGGCGACGCAUUGGCCGCAUACUGACGCUGAGGCGCGAAAGCAUGGGGAGCGAACGGGAUUAGAAACCCUUGUAGUCC